Molecule: transfer RNA, 84 nt
Filed under: Caldanaerobius fijiensis DSM 17918
Lineage: Bacteria; Bacillati; Bacillota; Clostridia; Thermoanaerobacterales; Thermoanaerobacteraceae
Rfam family: tRNA
About the family: Transfer RNA (tRNA) molecules are approximately 80 nucleotides in length. Their secondary structure includes four short double-helical elements and three loops (D, anti-codon, and T loops).
Source: Rfam by way of RNAcentral
GCGGAAGUGGCGGAAUUGGCAGACGCGCUAGAUUCAGGUUCUAGUGGCCGCAAGGCCAUGGGGGUUCAAGUCCCUUCUUCCGCA